UAAGUUGGGGAUGGUAGAGCAAAGUAAAGAGACCUCUCUACAAGGAGUCAAACAAGUCAAAGUUAGUUAGAAUAUUAAUAAUGUUGUUAAGUUUAUGUUUAGACAGCUGUAGUUUUGAUAAGAUCUGUUAGAAUCAUGGUCUUUUGCCUUUAUCUGAUGUUGUUCAUGGAUCAUUUUUUUUAUUCUAAUUGUGCCUUGGGAAAGUGUAC
This 209-nucleotide long non-coding RNA is filed under the name Prunus persica (peach). RNAcentral describes it as "long non-coding RNA (PPER_LNC001836)". Lineage: Eukaryota; Viridiplantae; Streptophyta; Magnoliopsida; Rosales; Rosaceae. The record is from RNAcentral.